UCCUUUCUAUAGUUGCUCUUGCGAAUCUUAGUGAAUUGGUGAGAAUGAAAGAAGAAAUGAGCUUCUAUUUAUAGGAAAACAUAGCUUCGAUUAUUGCACGUUUAGGGGCUUAAAUUAUUACAGUUUAGUACCUUCAUCUUUGCCUCAAUUUUUAGUUUAGUCCUUCGAGUAUUAUCAAUCUUGCACAACCUCCCCUAAUAGUAAAUGCAUGUGAACCAAU
RNAcentral lists this long non-coding RNA (220 nucleotides) under Panax ginseng (ginseng). RNAcentral's name for it is "long non-coding RNA (PGIN_LNC010789)". The record is from RNAcentral. Lineage: Eukaryota; Viridiplantae; Streptophyta; Magnoliopsida; Apiales; Araliaceae.